Molecule: ribosomal RNA, 229 nt
Filed under: uncultured bacterium
Lineage: Bacteria
Description: partial 16S ribosomal RNA
Rfam family: Bacterial small subunit ribosomal RNA
Source: RNAcentral
UGCGUAGGCGGAUCAAUAAGUCAGUGGUGAAAUCUCUCGGCUCAACCGGGAAACUGCCAUUGAUACUGUUGAUCUUGAGUUCGGUUGAGGUAGGCGGAAUGUGUAAUGUAGCGGUGAAAUGCUUAGAUAUUACACAGAACACCAAUUGCGUAGGCAGCUUACUAGACCGACACUGACGCUGAGGCACGAAAGCGUGAGGAGCGAACAGGAUUAGAUACCCUGGUAGUCC